GACGAACGCUGGCGGCGUGCCUAACACAUGCAAGUCGAACGGACAGGCCCUGCUUUUGUUGGUUGCUCGAUUGGCGAACACGUGUGUAACACGUGAGUAACCCGCCCUUGACUUUGUGAUAACUUCUCGAAACUGCGGCUAUUAUCCCAUAUGAUCUCCUGCUGCAUGUUGUGCGUUGGAAAGUUUCGGCGGUUCGGUCUGGACUCGCGGCUUACCAGCUUGUUGGUGGGGUAGUGGCUUACCAAGGGUUUGACGGCUAGGCGACCUGGGAGGUUGGACGGCGACAAUAGGACUGAGAGACGGAGCAGAAGCGAAAGGGAGGCAGAAGUGGAGAGCAUUGCAGAAUGAGCGGAAGCCAGAGACAGAAACGCCGCGAGCGGGAUGACGGGCUUCGGGGUGUAAACCGAUGUCGAAUGUGACGAGGAGUGAGUGACGGUAAUGGGUAAAGAAGCAACGGCUAACUACGUG
Molecule: ribosomal RNA, 468 nt
Filed under: uncultured bacterium
Lineage: Bacteria
Description: partial 16S ribosomal RNA
Rfam family: Bacterial small subunit ribosomal RNA
Source: RNAcentral